RNAcentral lists this ribosomal RNA (442 nucleotides) under uncultured bacterium. RNAcentral describes it as "partial 16S ribosomal RNA". It matches the Rfam family "Bacterial small subunit ribosomal RNA", at positions 338 to 795 of the family's 1533-position model. The record is from RNAcentral.
CCUACGUGCGGCAGCAGUGGGGAAUAUUGGACAAUGGGCGCAAGCCUGACGCAGCAACGCCGCGUGAAGGAAGACGGCUUUCGGGUUGUAAACUUCUUUUAAGAGGGAAGAGCAGAAGACGGUACCUCUUGAAUAAGCCACGGCGAACUACGUGCCAGCAGCCGCGGUAAUACGUAGGUGGCAAGCGGUGUCCGGAUUUACUAGGUGUAAAGGGCGUGCAGCCGGGGAGACCAGUCAGAUGUGAAAUCCCGCGGCUAAACCGCGGAACUGCAUUUGAAACUGUUUUUCUUGAGUACCGGAGAGGUCAUCGGAAUUCCUGGUGUAGCGGUGAAAUGCGUAGAUAUAAGGAAGAACACCAGUGGCGAAGGCGGAUGACUGGACGGUAACUGACGGUGAGGCGCGAAAGCGUGGGGAGCAAACAGGAUUAGAUACCCUAGUAGUC